UAAUCUAGUUAGGAAUUUCUCGUUCCAGCACGAGCACUUAGCACAACUCACUCUCAAAUUCCUAAUUGGGGAUUUACUUUAUUUUUGAGCUGCAGCUUUGUCCAAUUGUUCUGUAAACUAGUUGAUUCAAUUGAGUGUAAGAGAGUUAUCAGUGGUGCUAGAAUUUGGAAAUUGGACCGAGCAUGGGGAAAAAAGGUACCAUUGCAUCGUACUUCAAAAGAUAAGGCUAACCCUUGGAAACAGCCGCAACUUGCCGAUGCAAGAUAACAGGCGCUGCCUGGCCCUGGCUGCUCACAUUUCUUUGCUUUUCUGCCCUGGUGCUCUCCAUAAUUCGCCUCUCUUAUGGUUACAAAAGUGGCGUCCUGCAUGAUUAUUUGUUUCCCCUAGAACAUUGUAGAAGUUUGUUUUUUUACAGGAGUACAACACUGAGACCCACCGAGUUAUUGUGGAGCUGAUUGUUCCUUUUGACUUCUCACCUAUAAGGAGGCUAGCUACGAAAAUGUUCUAAGGUUUCAUUCUGAAGAAUGUUCCAAGGAAGGCAAGAGGCUGAUUCAUAUUCCUCCUAAGAAAAUAAAAUUUUGCUCUAUGUAUUGCUGGUUCCAGUUCAUCGUCAGUUCUACGGUAUCUUGUGUAUGGUUACCAUCAGUGAUUAUCAGAUCAUAACCUUAUUGGGCUCCUGGUAUUUCUACCAUGAUGGAUAAAUCACUGCAGUGAUAAACUGUACAAAGGGAAAGCGGCUUCAAAAAUAUUUAGGUCAGUCCAAAGUACCCACUUUAAUGAAUCUUUUCUCAAGGCUGUAUUUGACGUUAUAGCUGCAGUCCUCUUUCAUCUUGCCAUUGUCGAAGAAUUUUAUCAAUCAAGUUGCUUAAAAAAUUAUACUCUGUUUCUGAAAUUAACACGGGUACAAUUCUUGUAUAGAAUGUUGCUUACUAGUUUUAUUGUUUUGGACUGUUAGUCAAUCGAAUCCUUACAAGAAGGAUUGGGCAGGUGAGGUCACUUCUUCUACUUAGGUGCUCUCACACAUGGAGAAGCUAUCUCAACCCCAAGCAUUGUGUUUAACUCAGUUUGCCCGUUAUAACUUUGAAUAUGCUUAUUUUACUUGCCGACCUAUUUCGAGUUGGCUGGAGUUAAACAAAAUUUAAGUGCUACACCUUUUUAGCUCUCUUAUUAUAAUCCUUUUGUGCAUAUAUAAUAGAUUUAAAGUACACAGGUUAGUUAAGGCAUCAUAGUUAAUUUCUACCUAGCUCAAAUGCUGGCUUGCUACGACUUAUUUCUUGCUCGCUACUAUCAUUUAUCUGUUGCAAUGAGAGUUAACCAAUUAUAACAUUAAGUAGUAUAUUAUUUUAAAAUUUUACUUACCCCUAUUCUGUACCUUCAUAUUUGGAAAUAUUCGUAUGAUUAUGUCAAACAGGACGUGCGCGGCAAUGAGCACCAUCAUGAUCUAGUUAGAUGAGAAAACACUAGUCACGCGAAUCUGGAGAACAUUAAGAUACCAGAUAAUUGAAACAAACUGUAUGAUAGCACCGAUCAAUUAAUGAUAAAUAUUUUUCUGAAUGGGAGUGAAACUUGUGCCAGUAGUUUUUUCUCUCAUUUACAUACUACUUCGAAUCCGUUUUAAUCGACGCGGCUAUCAACUAAUACAUCUCUGGCCCCAUCUUCACAGGCAAAUGCCAAUUUAAGGCAAUCUUAGGGAGUAUAUUUUUAUCAUCUUCGUGUGGGCCUUAUGCUGGUAUUUUUCUGUCUUGGAAGAGGAGAAGAAAUAGCGUUCUGUAUUACAAUAUUUAUUUACAAGGAUAAUGUCUAUUUCGUGUUAAAUGUCGCACUACUUCUGUCUUUACUAGUCUCUACACUAACUAGGUCAGUAUUUGGCUGUGUUAUUGAGCUUAAAACUCCAAUAGCCCCAUGUUAAAACAUUUUUUUGUAUUGUGUGUUACAUAUUAUUUUACUACUAUAAUAAGUUAGCUUUCAGCUAUACGACUUCAGGAUAUACACCUUACUUCACUGGAUGAUACACGGAAUGAAGAUAUUUUGUCUGUUAGACUAUAGUUGGAAAAAAUUGAGCAACACAUGAAAAACCAAGAUGCUAAAAUUCUAGAGUUAAAUGAGAAGUUGUUGAACUGUGAAAGAUAGGUAAAUUUAAGAAACUUUGCCAUUGUUCAAUACAUGUACUAAUUUUUUUAUUGGUCAUUGUGUUCUGGGUCAGAUAUCUACAUCCCGAGAUGCUCUUGGUAUUGCCCAGACAAACUCAAAAAGGAAAAGAGUAUAUGGUGAUCUUUGUAGUCAACAACUUGGAACUAUUGGAAAGGAGAAUAAACAUCCUGCUACACAUAAGGUUUGCACAUUUAUAUCAUUAUAGUUUUUGCCAAUCUUACAAUAUAUGUACUGUCAUAGAACAAAGAAACUUUGGUCCAAGAUGAAAAUGUGCAACCUGGACAAGGAAGUGCUAUUGCAGAAAAGCAUGGUGGCAAGAACAGUGGAAGGUGUUAGAAUUGGAAAUCAAUUCGGGACAGUGCGUCGUUGAUGCUACAUUACAAAAAUCCGAUGAGUUGAUACGACCGCUCAAAAAGGUCAAGAUUAUUGGUCAUGCAGCAGGAUUAACAAUCGCAUGGCCUUCAACCUCUAUUUUGAAGAUAAAUUGGUGAUGCUUGGUUGAGAUGUUGAUUGCAAGAUGAAGACUGAUGCUACUACUGGAUAGCUUACAUUACUUUUCGUAUGUAAUUUUAAUCGCCAAUGUUGGGAAGAGAACAUUAU
RNA transcript from Lolium rigidum, 2751 nucleotides. RefSeq lists it as uncharacterized. The transcript is spliced from 4 exons. NCBI's taxonomy places the organism in Eukaryota, Viridiplantae, Streptophyta, Magnoliopsida, Poales, Poaceae. The record is from RefSeq and is a predicted model, not a curated record.